CUACACAACAAAAUCCUCUUAUCUCUCUUUUGGUAUUUUUUUUUGGUAAAAUAUAGUAUCAAGUCAAUUCGUCUCGCCGCCGAUCACAUCCUUCAUCCCGGCAAGACAGCACCUCUGAUCUCAUCCUACAUCACGUACAGGCGAUAAUUAAUCCUUACACGGCAAGCAGUAAGGAGCGAAUAGGUUGUGUGCGAGUACUUGCAGGAUUAACUACCUGCAGUCAGCAUGCGUCGAACUCGCAAUGGACUCGACAAAAACAACAAUAGCAAUGAAAGACCUGACAAAGCAACCUCCAAACUUGCCACUCUACAAUCUAAUGAUAAUCAACCAGACAUCAUUAGAGCAGCAAUGAAGGAUGCUGCACGGAAAAGGAAAGAAAUACUUCAGCAGAAAAGGAAUCAGG
Molecule: long non-coding RNA, 403 nt
Organism: Triticum aestivum (bread wheat)
Lineage: Eukaryota; Viridiplantae; Streptophyta; Magnoliopsida; Poales; Poaceae
Exons: 3
Source: RefSeq, a predicted model, not a curated record